AUUGAACGCUGGCGGAAUGCUUUACGCAUGCAGGUCGAACGGCAGCACGGGGGCAGCCCUGGUGGCGAGUGGCGAACGGGUGAGUAAUACAUCGGAACGUGCCCGGUCGUGGGGGAUAACGUAGCGAAAGUUACGCUAAUACCGCAUACGAUCUGAGGAUGAAAGCGGGGGACCUUCGGGCCUCGCGCGAUCGGAGCGGCCGAUGUCAGAUUAGGUAAUUGGUGGGGUAAAGGCCUACCAAGCCGACGAUCUGUAGCUGGUCUGAGAGGACGACCAGCCACACUGGGACUGAGACACGGCCCAGACUCCUACGGGAGGCAGCAGUGGGGAAUUUUGGACAAUGGGCGCAAGCCUGAUCCAGCCAUUCCGCGUGCAGGACGAAGGCCUUCGGGUUGUAAACUGCUUUUGUACGGAACGAAAAGGCUCUGGCUAAUACCUGGGGCUCAUGACGGUACCGUAAGAAUAAGCACCGGCUAACUACGUG
RNAcentral lists this ribosomal RNA (484 nucleotides) under uncultured bacterium. Its description in RNAcentral is "partial 16S ribosomal RNA". It matches the Rfam family "Bacterial small subunit ribosomal RNA", at positions 30 to 507 of the family's 1533-position model. The record is from RNAcentral.